Molecule: long non-coding RNA, 1993 nt
Organism: Dromaius novaehollandiae (emu)
Lineage: Eukaryota; Metazoa; Chordata; Aves; Casuariiformes; Dromaiidae
Exons: 3
Source: RefSeq, a predicted model, not a curated record
UCGGGGCGGCUCCUCCCCCGCGGCGGCGGCGUCAGCGGAAGCCCCUCUCCCUCCCCCCGCGGCGGCGGCGCGGCGGGGCCGGGCCGGGCUAUUUAUGGGCGGCGCUGCCGUCACGGAGCGCUGCGGCGCUGACGGGCCGUGACGCGCCUGGCGGCGGCGGCGCGGAGGGGGGCGCGGAGCGGCGGCGGCGGCGCCAGAUACAGUGCUUCUAAACCUUGCAUUUUAGCGUCAAAACACUUGUGAUUCACCCUUGUGUCCUUCAAGCCACCGACUGAGGAGAGUGGGAGUAGCGGUUACACGACGGCAUGCGUGCCUGUGCUCCGUCUGGGAAAGCAGCGGAUUCGGCAUCCGAGUGUGCGGGAAUACGGUGACAAACCCUGCGGGUCACGGACGCCCCGUCCUGUCCUUGUGCCCUUCACCGUGUUACCACCGCAGCUGCUGGUUUAUCCUUCACCUCAGUGCAUUAAAUCAUUUAGGAUGUUGUCUCAUUUUGAUGUGACUGCUACUGCAGUCAGUAAUCUAAACUUUUUUUAGGGGAUCUAGAUAUUACAUAUGCCUCUGGCUCAUUAGUACCACAGUGUUUCUGUGUGUAAUGUGCUGGAGAGGGAUUUUAUACCUUCUUAGAUUUACUAAUAAAAGUGUAUAUAUGUUUAUCUUUUAAGUAUUGCAACUCCAUGGCAGCUCAGCCUGUCAGGUUAUUCAUUCACUUGUUCAAAUCUCACAUUCAUACACAGUUUUGGGUUUACUUCUUAAGUGAGACUAACAUGUAAAUAAAGUGUAAAGGGCACUUCAUAUUUAAUACUUUAGUGGAAGACUGACAGUUCUUUUUAAUUAAAUGUGUUCUUUGUGCUCCUGUAUUUAGAUACCAAAAUACAGCAUUUCACCACAUGUGUAAAAUUGUGUUUGCAUUUAUUUAAUUUAGAGUUCUUUUUUUAAAAGCAUGUAGUCUUGAAUGUUUGUUCUCCAUUUUUUUUUUCACAUCAUUACUCUGAUACUGCUUGAUUAGCUCCCUCCCCAGUCAUGAUUGGUAAUUAAAAUAGGCAUUAAAAUUAGUCACUUAGCAAUUUUGCUGUUCAAUUGGCAAUUAAAUUACUUAAUUGCAAUUAAAGUCCUAAUUUUAAUUGGCAAAAUGAUAGAUGUAGAUUUAAGAUAAUAUGUAUAAAUACUUUAAUAAGUGUCUAUAUAAGGAUUACUUAAUUACUCAACUUCAAGUUUAUGCUGUUAACUUUAGAACUUUUAAGUGAGUAAUGAAAUUUAUAUUGCAUCUAUUCUAAGGAUAUGGUAAUUAGAUGUGUUACUUAUCACUAUAAGGGCCUGUGCUGUGCGUUUCCUCUGUAACGUUGGCGCUGUGGCCUGGGCUAGCUGUUGUGCUGUGAUUAACGCUGAUCUUUGCGUGACAGUGAGCGAGCAGUGAGCGGUUCAAGCGCCGGGCUGGCCCGCAGGCUUCCUCCAGCGCCCGCGCAGCGGUGUGCCCCGGCCGGGACAGCGCGGCGGCUGCGGAGAGCUGCGCGUCUCCAGCACGCGUACGUGCAUGCGCUGGAUUGCAGCAGAGGAUUCAACGUGAAGGAAAGCAGGAAUUAUGCAGAGUUGCACUUGGAAAAAGAGUCCGCUGCGGAAGAGGCCGAAUGGUUUCUGUGAAAUCACCGCUUCUGAUAGCCCGUCCCUGAUCGCUGCCUCCGUGGCAGCGUGCUGUGGCACCGCAGCACAGGCAGGGGAUGUCACACUGACUCGGUCACAUUCCUGACAGCUUUCAGUGUGCUGUGCACUUAAUGUCACCACAGCAGUUGGGGUCUAAUCCCGCCAGGGCUUCCCGCGGGUGCUGUCUCCCCUUCGCGGUCUGUGCUGGCCCGGAUGCCGCGGAGCAGAGGGGCGUGCGCAUUGUCAGGCACCCCGUGAAGCUGCUCUCGCUGUGUGAUGUGGAAGUUCCCGCGAUGAGCAGUGCGCUGUGCGUGCAGGUGUGAGAAACAGACACAAUAAAACGUUGCCGAGUGGA